RNAcentral lists this ribosomal RNA (1372 nucleotides) under uncultured bacterium. RNAcentral describes it as "bacterial SSU rRNA". It matches the Rfam family "Bacterial small subunit ribosomal RNA", at positions 28 to 1381 of the family's 1533-position model. The record is from RNAcentral.
GAUGAACGCUGGCGGCGUGCCUAAUACAUGCAAGUCGAGCGAACAGACGAGGAGCUUGCUCCUUUGACGUUAGCGGCGGACGGGUGAGUAACACGUGGGUAACCUACCUAUAAGACUGGGAUAACUUCGGGAAACCGGAGCUAAUACCGGAUAAUAUUUCGAACCGCAUGGUUCGAUAGUGAAAGAUGGCUUUGCUAUCACUUAUAGAUGGACCUGCGCCGUAUUAGCUAGUUGGUAAGGUAACGGCUUACCAAGGCAACGAUACGUAGCCGACCUGAGAGGGUGAUCGGCCACACUGGAACUGAGACACGGUCCAGACUCCUACGGGAGGCAGCAGUAGGGAAUCUUCCGCAAUGGGCGAAAGCCUGACGGAGCAACGCCGCGUGAGUGAUGAAGGUCUUCGGAUCGUAAAACUCUGUUAUUAGGGAAGAACAAACGUGUAAGUAACUGUGCACGUCUUGACGGUACCUAAUCAGAAAGCCACGGCUAACUACGUGCCAGCAGCCGCGGUAAUACGUAGGUGGCAAGCGUUAUCCGGGAUUAUUGGGCGUAAAGCGCGCGUAGCGGUUUUUUAAGUCUGAUGUGAAAGCCCACGGCUCAACCGUGGAGGGUCAUUGGAAACUGGAAAACUUGAGUGCAGAAGAGGAAAGUGGAAUUCCAUGUGUAGCGGUGAAAUGCGCAGAGAUAUGGAGGAACACCAGUGGCGAAGGCGACUUUCUGGUCUGUAACUGACGCUGAUGUGCGAAAGCGUGGGGAUCAAACAGGAUUAGAUACCCUGGUAGUCCACGCCGUAAACGAUGAGUGCUAAGUGUUAGGGGGUUUCCGCCCCUUAGUGCUGCAGCUAACGCAUUAAGCACUCCGCCUGGGGAGUACGACCGCAAGGUUGAAACUCAAAGGAAUUGACGGGGACCCGCACAAGCGGUGGAGCAUGUGGUUUAAUUCGAAGCAACGCGAAGAACCUUACCAAAUCUUGACAUCCUUUGACCCUUCUAGAGAUAGAAGUUUCCCCUUCGGGGGACAAAGUGACAGGUGGUGCAUGGUUGUCGUCAGCUCGUGUCGUGAGAUGUUGGGUUAAGUCCCGCAACGAGCGCAACCCUUAAGCUUAGUUGCCAUCAUUAAGUUGGGCACUCUAAGUUGACUGCCGGUGACAAACCGGAGGAAGGUGGGGAUGACGUCAAAUCAUCAUGCCCCUUAUGAUUUGGGCUACACACGUGCUACAAUGGACAAUACAAAGGGCAGCGAAACCGCGAGGUCAAGCAAAUCCCAUAAAGUUGUUCUCAGUUCGGAUUGUAGUCUGCAACUCGACUACAUGAACGCUGGAAUCGUUAGUAAUCGUAGAUCAGCAUGCUACGGUGAAUACGUUCCCGGGUCU